AUUGAACGCUGGCGGCAGGCCUAACACAUGCAAGUCGAUCGCGCGGCGGACGGGUGAGUAAUGUCUGGGAAACUGCCUGAUGGAGGGGGAUAACUACUGGAAACGGUAGCUAAUACCGCAUACCAUACGAUGUGCCCAGAUGGGAUUAGCUAGUCGGGGGGGUAACGUGUCACCUAGGCGACGCUCCCUAGCUGGUCUGAGAGGAUGACCAGCCACACGGGAACUGAGACACGGUCCAGACGCCUACGGGAGGAAGCAGUGGGGAAUAUUGCACAAUGGGCGCAAGCCUGAUGCAGCCAUGCCGGGUGUGUGAAGAAGGCCUUCGGGUUGUAAAGCACUUUCAGCGGGGAGGCGUUACCCGCAGAAGAAGCACCGGCUAACUCCGUGCCAGCAGCCGCGGUAAUAC
This 406-nucleotide ribosomal RNA is filed under the name uncultured bacterium. Its description in RNAcentral is "partial 16S ribosomal RNA". It matches the Rfam family "Bacterial small subunit ribosomal RNA", at positions 29 to 526 of the family's 1533-position model. The record is from RNAcentral.